GACGAACGCUGGCGGCGUGCUUAACACAUGCAAGUCGAACGGAAAGGCCCUGCUUUUGUUGGGUGCUCGAGUGGCGAACGGGUGUGUAACACGUGAGUAACCUGCCCUUGACUUUGGGAUAACUUCCGGAAACUGGGGCUAAUACCGGAUAGGAGCUCCUGCUGCAUGGUGGGGGUUGGAAAGUUUCGGCGGUUGGGGAUGGACUCGCGGCUUAUCAGCUUGUUGGUGGGGUAGUGGCUUACCAAGGCUUUGACGGGUAGCCGGCCUGAGAGGGUGACCGGCCACAAUGGGACUGAGAUACGGCCCAGAGUGGUACGGGAGGCAGCAGUGGGGAAUAUGGCACAAUGGGCGGAAGCCUGAUGCAGCAACGCCGCGUGCGGGAUGACGGCCUUCGGGUUGUAAACCGCUUUCGCCUGUGACGAAGCGUGAGUGACGGUAAUGGGUAAAGAAGCACCGGCUAACUACGUG
This 468-nucleotide ribosomal RNA is filed under the name uncultured bacterium. Its description in RNAcentral is "partial 16S ribosomal RNA". It matches the Rfam family "Bacterial small subunit ribosomal RNA", at positions 28 to 507 of the family's 1533-position model. The record is from RNAcentral.